CUCGCAAGAGAGCCGGAACACAGGUGCUGCAUGGCUGUCGUCAGCUCGUGUCGUGAGAUGUGGGUUAAGUCCCGCAACGAGCGCAACCCUUGUCAUUAGUUGCCAUCAUUGUUGGGCACUCGUAAUGAGACUGCCGGUGACAAACCGGAGGAAGGUGGGGAUGACGUCAAGUCCUCAUGGCCUUUAUGACCAGGGCUACACACGUACUACAAUGGCCGGUACAAAGGCAGCGACACAGCGAUGUGAAGCGAAUCCCGAAAAAGCCGGUCUCAGUCCGGAUUGGAGUCUGCAACUCGACUCCAUGAAGUUGGAAUCGCUAGUAAUCGCGGAUCAGCACGCCGCGGUGAAUACGUUCCCGGGCCUU
Molecule: ribosomal RNA, 364 nt
Filed under: uncultured Desulfocapsa sp.
Lineage: Bacteria; Pseudomonadati; Thermodesulfobacteriota; Desulfobulbia; Desulfobulbales; Desulfocapsaceae
Description: bacterial SSU rRNA
Rfam family: Bacterial small subunit ribosomal RNA
Source: RNAcentral